AGGUGCGAUCAUACCAGCACUAAUGCACCGGAUCCCGUCAGAACUCCGCAGUCAAGUGCGCUUGGGCGAGCGUAGUACUAGGAUCGGUGACCUCUUGGGAAGUCCUCGUGUUCCACCUC
Non-coding RNA from Lupinus angustifolius (narrow-leaved blue lupine), 119 nucleotides. NCBI's taxonomy places the organism in Eukaryota, Viridiplantae, Streptophyta, Magnoliopsida, Fabales, Fabaceae. The record is from Rfam.